UGUCAGCGAGGAGCCAGGGUGCAGCUGGAUGCAGUCGUAGCCUCAGAUUUUGUCCAUAGUUUAUGUUUAAAGGAUUGCAGGUGUAACUGUAGGGUUGUAGGAUAAUAGGUGUAAUUGAACCUUUCUACAACUGUGUUCCAUAGGAUGAAGGAUAUAUUUAUAGAAAAUAAAGUGAUUUAUAGAAAAAUAAAAUGAUCAUGAUUAAAUGAAAA
This is a long non-coding RNA of Corvus hawaiiensis (hawaiian crow), 212 nucleotides long. RefSeq lists it as uncharacterized. The transcript has 2 exons. NCBI's taxonomy places the organism in Eukaryota, Metazoa, Chordata, Aves, Passeriformes, Corvidae. The record is from RefSeq and is a predicted model, not a curated record.